RNAcentral lists this unclassified non-coding RNA (433 nucleotides) under soil metagenome. RNAcentral's name for it is "partial contains 5.8S ribosomal RNA, internal transcribed spacer 2, and large subunit ribosomal RNA". The stretch from base 1 to 120 matches the Rfam family "5.8S ribosomal RNA", at positions 35 to 154 of the family's 154-position model. The record is from RNAcentral.
GAUGAAGAACGCAGCGAAAUGCGAUACGUAAUGUGAAUUGCAGAAUUCAGUGAAUCAUCGAAUCUUUGAACGCAUAUUGCGCUCUCUGGUAUUCCGGAGAGCAUGCUUGUUUGAGUAUCAGUAAACACCUCAACUUCCAUAUCUUUUUUGAAAUGGGAGUUGGACUUGAGUGAUCCCAACGCCUUUCCUCACCGAAAAGUGGCGGGUUACUUGAAAUGCAGGUGCAGCUGGACUUUUCUCUGAGCUAUAAGCAUAUCUAUUUAGUCUGCCUAAAAAACAGAUUAUUACCUUUGCUGCAGCUAACAUAAAGGAGAUUAGUUCUUGUGCUGACUGAUGCAGGAUUCACAAAGACAGGCUUCGGCCGACUUUGUAAACUCGAUCUCAAAUCAAGUAAGACUACCCGCUGAACUUAAGCAUAUCAAUAAGCGGAGGA